Molecule: long non-coding RNA, 376 nt
Organism: Xyrauchen texanus (razorback sucker)
Lineage: Eukaryota; Metazoa; Chordata; Actinopteri; Cypriniformes; Catostomidae
Exons: 4
Source: RefSeq, a predicted model, not a curated record
UCACAGCUGAGGAAGCACAGAGCGCUGGUGACUGACACCGAAUAGAAGAUCUUACCUAUUUUUUGGCUCCUCUGUUUCCACAUAAGCCACUUUUGAGGAAUGUUCUCCUAAACACAUUUAAAUCAGAAAGGGUCCAGAACACCAGCUCCAUAGCUGACUGCAAUGUGGCCAUCUGGCCUUUUCUCCAGUGCUUAUCAAAGUCAUCUAAAACCACCACCACCCGCUCUCCAGGCCAGACACUUUGCUACACAGUGAGCAGCAUGAGAACAGAAAAAGUGCAUGAUUGAAACUUCACACUUUAUGCCUGGUUUGGAUGGGGUAUAUCAGUAUCGUACCUUACUCUCCAGCAUGGACGCCCACUCCAGUAUGAAGGCCC